CCUAUCUCACACCUGUGUCAGAGGUCAGUCUUUCAAUUUUCACUUCCUAAAAAGUAUCACUUUUGAUAGUCUUCAUUAAUCCCACAUGUCACCCCUGCAGAACAUACUGAGUAAAUUGAACGUCUUGCUUUAGAGGUAGGAAGUGAGACAGUGAGACUAAGUUAUAAUGGGGGAAGGAGGACGAGCAGGCAUCCUAAGAACCAUACCUCAUCUUGCUAAUAUUUUAAGUUUUUCUGAGUUCUAUCACGAGACGGAACUGUAUGAUAAAAUGCUGUGCUGUUAUUAGAAAUGAUAAUGUGUCUGUGAACUAAAUCCUCUUAAAAGGAGAAAGCAGUGAAAAAGUAAGGUAUUUUAAUGAUGCCAAAAGAUCCUAUUGGGGUAAGAGUCACAGUCUGACAAUAUGAAAAUGUAACAAGAGUGUAUUUUGGCAUCAAAAAUACAGGGCUCUUCUCCUGGGCUGAUGAGUUAGGAAUAGUUUUGGUUAGGUGCUCAUUCAAACAAAUGUAAAGACACAAAUUUUGCUUACCUCAAAAAAAAAAAAAAAAGAAACCCUGAAACAUUUCCAAAUGCAUGUGCUUUUUGUAUUCCUCUUUAAUUUUAAAUAAUUAUUUUAGAGAAAUGGUUGUGUAUGUGAAUAUUUGUCAUAGAAUUUCUGAAUACCUCCCACUAUGUGAUCAGUUGAUAGGUUUUUAUUAAGAACUAUUACUUGCUUAGCUCUUCUCUGCCCUGAUCUGAUCAUUGCUAGGACAUUGCUAUCUCACUUUAUAUGAGGGAGAAGAGGAAACUUGACACCUAACUCUGUCAUCACCACCGUGCUUUAGGAAAAGAGCCCUGCAAUGAUGUGAAAGACCUAUUUUUACUUCUGAAACUACUAAGAAUGUAACUCGUCAGUUGCGAUGUGCAAAAGGGUUUAAAGAAUAAACAACGAGACAAAAUGAAACAGAAACACUAAUGAAAAGCUGUUCCAUUUUGUACUUCCAAAGAGGCUUGGGGUAAUAGAGAGGAAUGGGUGGCUGCAUUCAGAGAAUCUUAUUAAAUUAAAAUUCAUUGGAACCAAAAAGCUUUCCCUUGAUUAUAGUGUAAGUUAGCAUGAAAGAUAAAGCCUAAGAGACAGUGUCUAGUCCACAGGUGGCUUGGAAUCCAGAGGAUUCUAGGAAAGUAAAAGUUAUUAUUCACUGACUUUCAUCUCCCCAUGGUCACAUAUUUUCUGUGAGUUAAAUUUGGGCUCCAUUUAUAUUUGUUUCCAGAAAUGCACACCUGGGAGUUUUGCUACAAAAUUAUUUACAGUGGGAAGUCUCAAAAUUAUUUAGCUGUUUAAAAUCUGAGUGUCUGUCUAAAUGCAUUCUUGAUGAAAAUACCUUUCACCAUGUUAUACAAUGCCUCAGGUGUUAUUUGAUAAACAUGUUGAAAUUAAAUGGAAUUGUUGAUUUGGUCAGACCCACCUCCAAUUAUUUACUCAGGGUUACGCCAGGAUUUCAGUCAUUGAAAGAAAUAGAAAUUAGAAAUAUAUUUCUUAAAUAUACAAUAAACUGUUGACACUAUUUGAUGACAGGAGCUUCCAUUAAAUCAAUUUGAGAAAUGAGGAAAUUAUUCACACAAAAAGAAUAAGGAACAAUGAGAGGAGAAAAAAAAAACUACUUGGAAAGAUUAGAGAUAUAACUGAUUUUCAGCAUCAACUGGAACCAGAAUCAGAAUCUCAAACAAUGCUAGUUCUCUCUUUCCAGCAUUCAGUUCAACUUCUCUCUGUGGUAGAUUCAUUCUGUGAACCCACGCUAAUUUCUGUCAUUGGAAUAGUUACCAAAAGAUGGGAGGUUCUUCCUUUGGAAAAAAGGAGGAAGUUGAUCUGGUACUGGCAAAGGAGGCGCUGAAGAUAGAUAAAAACCAGAACAGUGGUGAUCCAUCCAAACCAGUCACUUUGGGGGGUAGUUAUCUUUAUUUUUACUCUUAGAAUAGUAAAAUGGCAAUGUGAAUUUAGGCCUGUCAUGCUUUAUAAAUAAAACUAUAACAUGUUCAUGUUUAAAAAAAUUUUUUUUUACUAAGGUAUUUUAUUUCAGUUGAAAUACAAUAAGCUGUAGAUAUCGAACAACUGUAACACAACCCGUGCAAACAAUGAUCUCCUUUCUGCCACUAUAGUUAGCAAUUUCCAGAAGGUUAUAUAAGUGGAGACAAAGAAUAUACAGUCAUUCUUGAAUGAUUUAUUUUAUUCAGCAUAACUAUCUCAAGGUUCAUUCAUGUUGUAGCAUGUCACAAUAGUUCUUUUUUUUUUUCUGAGUAGAAUUCCAUGACAUGGCGUUAUACAGACUGAAUUAUGGCUCCCCAAAAUUUCAGUGUCAAAGCCCUAGAAUCUAGUACACCAAAAUAUGACCAUAUUUGGAGAUAAAUGCCUUUUAAGAGAGAAUUAAUUAAUUAAUUAAUUUUUAAAAAAUGAGGCCAUAAUCCAAUCUGACUAGAGUCCUUUGAAGAAGAGGAGCCUAGGACACACAGAGACAUCAAAGAUAUAGGCACCAAGAAAAGACCAUGUGUGGGCAUCAGAAGAAGGCAGCCAACUGCAAGCCAAGGAGAGAGUCCCCAGAAGAAAUCAAACCUGCCCACACCCUGUUGUCAGACGUUUAGCCUCCAGAACUGU
Molecule: long non-coding RNA, 2626 nt
Filed under: Marmota monax (woodchuck)
Lineage: Eukaryota; Metazoa; Chordata; Mammalia; Rodentia; Sciuridae
Source: RNAcentral